CAGAAGGUGCGAGCGUUAAUCGGAAUUACUGGGCGUAAAGCGUGCGUAGACGGUUAUUUAAGUCGGGUAUGAAAGCCCCGGGCUCAACCUGGGAAUUGCAUUCGAGACUGAAUAGCUAGGGUACGGUAGAGGGAAGUGGAAUUUCCGGUGUAGCGGUGAAAUGCGUAGAUAUCGGAAGGAACAUCAGUGGCGAAAGCGACUUCCUGAACCAGUACCGACGUUCAGACACGAAAGCGUGGGGAGCAAACAGGAUUAGAUACCCUGGUAGUCCACGCCAUAAACGAUGAGGACUAGACGUUGGAGGGGUAAGCCCUUCAGUGUCGUAGCUAACGCGCUAAGUCCUCCGCCUGGGGAGUACGGCCGCAAGGUUG
This 371-nucleotide ribosomal RNA is filed under the name uncultured organism. RNAcentral's name for it is "bacterial SSU rRNA". It matches the Rfam family "Bacterial small subunit ribosomal RNA", at positions 526 to 896 of the family's 1533-position model. The record is from RNAcentral.